Hevea brasiliensis (rubber tree) is the source of this 1176-nucleotide long non-coding RNA. RefSeq lists it as uncharacterized. The transcript has 2 exons. NCBI's taxonomy places the organism in Eukaryota, Viridiplantae, Streptophyta, Magnoliopsida, Malpighiales, Euphorbiaceae. The record is from RefSeq and is a predicted model, not a curated record.
UUUAAUUAUUUUUAAUAUAUCGAAAAAUAAUUUCUUUGCUGUAAUAUUGAUUUCCACUCCAAGUAGGCUAUUUUAGAUGAAAUCAAAAUGAUAGCGUAUAAUUAAUCCAUUUGAUGUAAAUUUAAAAAAUAUAUAUAUUAAAAAAAUUAAAAAAAAAACCCCUCUAUAUGAAGGUUCUGUUCACCUUCAUUUUCCUCACAAGCCCUCCAUCCAACUCCCAACCCCAAGAUCCCACCCCUUUGGGGGUCUAUUCUCUUCCAUUUCUCUUCCAGAUUGCAAAAUUCUGUUCAAUUAUCCCUCAUUUUAUACAAGAACAAAAAAUAUUUUGUAUUUGUUUUACUUAAUUACUUUUCUGUUUGUUAUUCAGCAGAGAGACUGCUUCUUCUCUGCUUGUUUACAGAAUCAUCCAGUUUGAGAUGACGUCGACUAAUUCUUCCACUUCUACCACCUCCCAGAAGGACAAGAAAAGAAACUUUCCUCCUAAGAGAGGCCAGAUCAAAGCUCAGAUUUUUCAAAGCUUGACCAAAACUGUAAGCUCUUGGGUCACCAAGGCAGGGGAAGCUCUGAAAAGAGACAGAGGACAUGGUGCAGAUGGAGGAAUUUCUUCUUCUACUGCUGCAACCUCACCAUUCAGCACCUUCAAUUCAGAUGGAUAAAUUCCUUGUUCCAUCACUUUUCAAGUAUAUCUCAGAAGCUGUGAUUUCAUUGUUUUUAACUUGGAUCACGGCACCUAUGUCUAUUAUCGUGUGAUUAGAAAGUCCCUGCAUUAACUGAUAUUAAUUUGACCCAGUUUUUGGCAGGGCUAUAAGCCAACUAUGUUUGUUGUAUUAGGUCAGGUCAAUAGAUAGGUUGCUCCUGCAUAACUCAUAUUUGUGGAAGUUACGGCAGGAGUAUAACCCUUCUAUUUAUGUUUGUUUUCUAGGCCAUUGUCUUGCAGAUAUGGCUUGUCCAUAUAUUCUCAGUUCUUCUUUUGUUGGGUAGCUUUAAAAAAAAAAAAAAAAAAAAAAAACCCCUCUUCUACCAUUGUCAUUUUCCACAGUUUUUGGAGAGGAGAUGAUGAACUUGGAAGAGGGUUGUUGUAAUCUUGGCUUGGGGCGUCUUUGGCUUUGUAUUUCCAGUUGUGUCACGUCUAGUUGUUAUGCUAUGUGAAAUAUAAGAUUCUACUUAUUCUCUCUC